UACGGGGGGGGCAAGCGUUGUUCGGAAUUACUGGGCGUAAAGGGUUUGUAGGUGGCUUGCUAAGUCAGACGUGAAAUCCCUCAGCUUAACUGGGGAACUGCGUCUGAUACUGGCGAGCUUGAGUGCAGGAGAGGAACGCGGAAUUCCAGGUGUAGCGGUGAAAUGCGUAGAUAUCUGGAGGAACACCGGUGGCGAAGGCGGCAUCCUGGACCGGCAUUGACGCUGAGGAGCGAAAGCCAGGGGAGCAAACGGG
This 253-nucleotide ribosomal RNA is filed under the name uncultured bacterium. RNAcentral describes it as "partial 16S ribosomal RNA". It matches the Rfam family "Bacterial small subunit ribosomal RNA", at positions 524 to 776 of the family's 1533-position model. The record is from RNAcentral.